RNAcentral lists this ribosomal RNA (454 nucleotides) under uncultured Yaniella sp. RNAcentral describes it as "bacterial SSU rRNA". It matches the Rfam family "Bacterial small subunit ribosomal RNA", at positions 1122 to 1488 of the family's 1533-position model. The record is from RNAcentral. Lineage: Bacteria; Bacillati; Actinomycetota; Actinomycetes; Micrococcales; Micrococcaceae.
CGGCCGCGUCGACAACGUUUGUGGUUCCGGGGUGUACUCGAGAAAGGUGAAGGGAUAUGGUUCUCUUGGUGCACACCCAUGGUUCGGUUGGGGACUCAUGGGAGACUGCCGGGGGUCAACUCGGAGGAAGGUGGGGACGACGUCAAAUCAUCAUGCCCCUUAUGUCUUGGGCUUCACGCAUGCUACAAUGGCCGGCACAAUGGGUUGCGAGACUGUGAGGUUGAGCUAAUCCCAUAAAACCGGUCUCAGUUCGGAUUGGGGUCUGCAACUCGACCCCAUGAAGUCGGAGUCGCUAGUAAUCGCAGAUCAGCAACGCUGCGGUGAAUACGUUCCCGGGCCUUGUACACACCGCCCGUCAAGUCACGAAAGUUGGUAACACCCGAAGCCGGUGGCCCAACCACCUUGUGUGGGGGGAGCCGUCGAAGGUGGGACCGGUGAUUGGUCGACGCGGCCG